Long non-coding RNA from Sceloporus undulatus (fence lizard), 638 nucleotides. RefSeq lists it as uncharacterized. The record is from RefSeq and is a predicted model, not a curated record. The transcript has 3 exons. NCBI's taxonomy places the organism in Eukaryota, Metazoa, Chordata, Lepidosauria, Squamata, Phrynosomatidae.
CAGCUGAAUCAACUGCUUUCCCCUUUGUUUGCCAUUAUUGGUGGUCAGAUGUGGUGGCCAGGAGAAGGCUCUGGAAUGUUCACCAACUCACAGGGUAAGCCAGCCCUGCUGAAUUUGUGGGUCAUCCUGCUCCUACCUUGGAUUUCUUAAAGUUCUGCCCUGGUGACACAGCAGUUGAAAGAAAGCAGUCAGUGUUGUGGACUGGGCUGGAAAGUCAUCCCCAAAUUGUAAACCAAGGUUCUGAGGCUGCUAACGAGAAAGGUGCACACGUGCCUUUCUGCUGGUACAAUGAGACUACUUGCUAAACUUCUUUCCAGCACAAGCUCUUGCCACAUACCCACAAAGAACGGCUGCCAAGGCUGCUAGCUAAGCACUUCCCCAGAGUGUCUUCAACAAGAAGAAGUCAUGAACAUCCACUCUGCUGACAGAUUUUUUCCCUUCAGCUAAAGUUAAAAGAAGCAGUUUAACUUGUCAUGUAAGUUCAAAAAAUUGAUGAUGUUUAAGCAGCAAUGAAAAAUCUUGCUGAUGAUAAGACAACAGCAUAGCCAUAGGAAAGCCCCUUAAUCAAGUCAUUGGCUCACCUGACCUCUGCAUCCACACUACAGAAAGAAUCCAGUUUGACAGCACCUUAACUGCCA